This is a long non-coding RNA of Rana temporaria (common frog), 158 nucleotides long. RefSeq lists it as uncharacterized. The transcript is spliced from 2 exons. Lineage: Eukaryota; Metazoa; Chordata; Amphibia; Anura; Ranidae. The record is from RefSeq and is a predicted model, not a curated record.
UUCACAACUGCAAGCUUUAUGAUGCUGAAAAAUCCUUUGAAACUGAAGUAAUAUGAUCCAGACUUGAGGGUGAUGAAACUGAUUGAAUGCACAAUCAUAUAGAAUCACAUAGAACACCUAUAGUAGGGCAGGAACAUUAUGUAAACAAUUUUUUUUGU